AAAUGAGCAACUUUCCAAAUAUGGAAAUACCAAAUCUGCUAGAGCAAUCAUGUUGGUGGAGCUUAAAAAAUUAAUUGAAGCAAAUCCUUUAUUCCGUGAUAAAUUGCAAUUCCCAAACCUUAAAAAUUCAAGGUUACGGACUCUCAUCAACCAAAAGUAACUCAUUUAAAGAUGCUUUAGUCUUCUCACCAACAAACCUUACUUCUUGUUGGUACCAAUGUUGGGGACAUUGGGUUGUGGGAAGUUGGUUCUAGGGAGCGGUUAGUUUUGAGGAAUUUCAAAGUUUGGGAUCUCAGUGCAUGUUCAAUGCCUCUGCAGGCAGCUCUGGUUAAAGAUCCUGGUGUAUCUAUUAAUCGUGUGAUUUGGAGCCCUAACGGUUCUUUGUUUGGAGUUGCAUAGUCCAGGCACAUCGUUCAAAUAUAUUCUUAUCAUGGGAAUGAAAAUAUACAGUAGCACCUGGAGAUUGAUGCUCAUGUUGGCGAAGUAAAUGACAUCGCAUUCUCCCACCCAAACAAGCAACUUUGUCUGAUAACCUGUGGUGACGAUAAGACCAUCAAGGUGUGGGAUGGCACUACUGGUGCAAAGCAGUAUACGUUUGAAGGUCAUGAGGCUCCUGUUUAUUCUGUCUGUCCUCACUAUAAGGAAAACAUUCAGUUUAUCUUUUCAACUGCACUGGAUGGAAAGAUAAAAGCAUGGUUGUAUGACAACUUGGGAUCUCGAGUUGAUUAUGAUGCUCCUGGUCGCUGGUGCACGACAAUGGCUUACAAUGCAGAUGGUACCAGG
Long non-coding RNA from Juglans microcarpa x Juglans regia, 783 nucleotides. RefSeq lists it as uncharacterized. The record is from RefSeq and is a predicted model, not a curated record. The transcript has 7 exons. NCBI's taxonomy places the organism in Eukaryota, Viridiplantae, Streptophyta, Magnoliopsida, Fagales, Juglandaceae.